Molecule: ribosomal RNA, 305 nt
Filed under: uncultured bacterium
Lineage: Bacteria
Description: bacterial SSU rRNA
Rfam family: Bacterial small subunit ribosomal RNA
Source: RNAcentral
GCCUACGGGGCGCAGCAGUAGGGAAUUUUCGUCAAUGGGCGCAAGCCUGAACGAGCAAUGCCGCGUGAACGAGGAAGGUCUUCGGAUCGUAAAGUUCUGUUGAAGGGGAAAGCGAGCGGAGAGAGGAAAUGGUCUCCGAUUGAUAUUACCCUUCGAGGAAGUCACGGCUAACUACGUGCCAGCAGCCGCGGUAAUACGUAGGUGGCGAGCGUUAUCCGGAAUGAUUGGGCGUAAAGGGUGCGUAGGCGGCCUGCUAAGUCUGGAGUGAAAGGUACCGGCUCAACCGGUACAGGCUCUGGAAACUG